Non-coding RNA from Xyrichtys novacula (pearly razorfish), 1482 nucleotides. The record is from the annotation of a GenBank genome assembly. Lineage: Eukaryota; Metazoa; Chordata; Actinopteri; Labriformes; Labridae.
ACCAGUUUGAGCCAGAGUCUGACCCAGAGGGAGAGGCUCCGGAAGAAACUCUCAGCCGCGUUCAGACCAAACGCGACUUGAAGCGACCUAGUCGACACAUCCUAUGUAUUAUUCAAAGCCGCCAGGAGGGUCACGCUUAAGGAGGAAGAUAAGAAUGUAGAAAAAAAAUACAACCAGAGCUCUGCUACAAUGUAAGAUUUUGGUGCUCUAAAACUUCUCUGAAGCCUUUGCUAAUAAAUUAGAUGGCCGACCGUCCAGCAUUAGCCGGGACGUCCCGUAUUUGAGCCAAAAGAGGCGCGUCGCCGCACGGGUAAAUGCUAAAGCUACAUGCUGCUCUAGAGGGGGGUUUUGUCCCCGGCGGCGGAGUUGUCGGGGAAGAAGCGAGCGGCUAAAAUACGGGAGGAUCCGGUAAACCGGCGCGGAUCCGGUGUGUUUAUCAAAGCGUGGUGGCCGUGCUGAGGCACCGGGGAGAAUUUAGGCUAAACGGUGAGUCAAAAUAAAACGUUAAUACUUACAGAUGCCACGUUUGUAGUAGGAUCACGGAUAGUUGGUACGGAUCCAUUCUUUAUCUUCAGACAUCUAGCAAAUCCAGCGUUGAACUGUCCCUCGUUUAUAAAACAGUCCGAAGUGAAAUGGUGCGCACAUAAGUACAGAUAUGUUGGAAGUGCCGCGGGUACAUUCACAUUAUAAAUAAAAUCCACCCAUUGAGUCCUCAACUCCUCCGACCAGGGAGUUUUCAAAAGAGUUUUGUGCUCGUUUGUGCAGCCAACAACAGAGCAAACGCUGCCUCUAUUUCAGAUCGUACUUCCGCCAUGGUUCUAACCGGAGCUAUGCGAGCGAGCGGCCGGAAAUAAUGGCGGUGUUUUGAUAAUUUUGUAGGCAGGGCAGUGGGCGGCUCCAUGGGCAGUACCAUCAACCCGCCAGCACUGACAUGACGUCAUGUCCGGCCAGCUCUGAGCACACAGUUCCUAAAUACGGAAACAACUACAAAACGACUGGAUGGAUUUUUUUCGAACUUGGGGCGAUUGUAGCGGUUUUCUAUCCCUGAUAUGCACCCCCCUCCCGUUAACAAAGUCAGUUUUUCAUGCCAUGGCCCUUUUAAGACAGUCAUGCAUAAAGAGAAAAGUUAGCCAAUAGAUUAAAGAUGAACAAAGUUAACUCACUAAAAAUGAUUUAAAAUGGGUGAACCUUGAUGCUAAAUUUAGCUGCAUUGACCAUGAAUGUAAUAUCUACUUAAAUCUGAAUCCUAGAGAAACUGUGCCAAUUGUAUAGUGUUAUAGGGUAUAUUUUUUAGCAAAUAAGUGAUUACUGAUUGAGAAAAUUUGGUAUUUGCAAUAAAAUCUCAUUGUAUUUCCUUUAGGUUCACAGGUUUACUGAACUAGGGAGGGCAAUGAUGUGGAAAAAAAAGGUUGAAACCAAACUCAGACUGCCCGCUUGGAGGACCAAACCCUCAAAGAGCAUCUCUUCAUUCAUCACAACCAC